UGAAACUAUUCUUGAUGACUGCAGUGGCC
Molecule: non-coding RNA, 29 nt
Filed under: Rattus norvegicus (Norway rat)
Lineage: Eukaryota; Metazoa; Chordata; Mammalia; Rodentia; Muridae
Source: RNAcentral